CGGGUCUGGAGUGGUUUUGGAGUGAAUUGAGACAGAUAGUCUCUCAUGAGAAGGUUUAAGUUGAAAGAGUUGACUGGAUGUUGAUUUAGGUAUAAAUGACCUUGGAUUUGAAUUUUGAUGGUUCUAUUAGCUCCGUUAGGUGAUUUUGGACAUAGGAGCGCGUCCGGAAUGUGAUUUAGUGGUCCGUAAUGGAAUUAGGCUUGAAUUGGCGAAAGUUAAAAUUUGGCAAAUUUGGGCGGUUGUGGAAUUUUUGAUAUCGCGGUCGGAAUGAAAUUUC
This 277-nucleotide long non-coding RNA is filed under the name Nicotiana benthamiana. RNAcentral's name for it is "long non-coding RNA (NBEN_LNC006910)". The record is from RNAcentral. Lineage: Eukaryota; Viridiplantae; Streptophyta; Magnoliopsida; Solanales; Solanaceae.